AAACGACUCUCGGCAACGGAUAUCUCGGCUCUUGCAUCGAUGAAGAACGUAGCGAAAUGCGAUACUUGGUGUGAAUUGCAGAAUCCCGUGAACCAUCGAGUCUUUGAACGCAAGUUGCGCCCGAAGCCAUUAGGCCGAGGGCACGCCUGCCUGGGCGUCACA
This 162-nucleotide ribosomal RNA is filed under the name Swartzia costata. Its description in RNAcentral is "5.8S ribosomal RNA". It matches the Rfam family "5.8S ribosomal RNA". Rfam says of the family: 5.8S ribosomal RNA (5.8S rRNA) is a component of the large subunit of the eukaryotic ribosome. RNAcentral also lists the same sequence under 1 other name. Lineage: Eukaryota; Viridiplantae; Streptophyta; Magnoliopsida; Fabales; Fabaceae. The record is from RNAcentral.